UUGACUGUUUUUNCAAAGACAUUGCCUUUUGGUUAAUAUAAAUGGUAAUUUCUGCCCACUGCAAAAAAGUAAAGGGCUGCAGUAUUUUGACUGUAUAAAGGUAGCAUAAUCAUUAGUUUUUUAAUUGGAAACUGGUAUGAAGGGGAAACAGGGAUGUAGUUUAUUUCUUAAGUUGGCUGAAUUUUAUUGUUUUGUGAAAAAUCAAAAAUUAUUCUAAGGGACAAGAAGACCCUACUAAGUUUUAUUAUUAAACAUUAAAAAUAUAAAGGAUAUAUGGUAAGUAAAUAUUAGUGUAAUUAAUGUUUAGUAAGUUUGCUGGGGCGGUAGAGUAUUAAACGUUUUUUAAGGAUUUAACUAGAUUUAUGACGGGAUAAAGAUCUAAUUUGAUUAAUUAUAUGGUUAAUUACUUUAGGGAUAACAGCGUUAUCAUUUUUGAAAGUUCAUAUUGACAAAAUGGUUUGCGACCUCGAUGUUGGAUUAGGAUAAACAUUGGUGCAGUAGUUAUUGGGAU
Molecule: ribosomal RNA, 511 nt
Filed under: Piccola odontopyga
Lineage: Eukaryota; Metazoa; Arthropoda; Diplopoda; Polydesmida; Paradoxosomatidae
Description: partial 16S ribosomal RNA
Rfam family: Archaeal large subunit ribosomal RNA
Source: RNAcentral